This is a long non-coding RNA of Astatotilapia calliptera (eastern happy), 1630 nucleotides long. The record is from Ensembl. Lineage: Eukaryota; Metazoa; Chordata; Actinopteri; Cichliformes; Cichlidae.
CUACACUGUAAAAACGAUAACUAGCAAUUGUUGAUUUCACUAAAGUUUUUAAAUUAAACUGACUUAGAAAUAAAACUUUCCUUUACAACCUAAAAAAGCUUGUCUACCCAACAAAUUUCUUUCAUUGUUGUCCUAACUAAGAUUUUCUAGACAGCAUAACAAAGAUUAUCAACUUUUGAGCAGAGUUUCUGAGUCAAGUUGGGAACCAGUGGGAAACCCCGUAGAUGACUGGCACAUGUGGUCUGAACAAGUUUGAACUAAACCAAACGGACUUUCAACUGAGCCUGAGCAGACCUGAGCUGUGUGAUAGUGGUUUACCAUGUGUUCUAGACUAAAAACCUCCUAAGAAAAUUUGAACCAUCGUGGCUAGAUUUGGAUGUAAAAUGCAAUUUUUCGACCAUUGAGGAUUUUCACUUCUGCAGUUUUGGACAGGUGCUGGAGCUGCCGACCAUUUACCCUAGCAGAGUUCAUGCAGUGCCGAUUUUGCAAAUUCACAAGCUCCAGUCAAGAGACUCUUGUGAAACAUUUCCGCCUUCAUCACGGACAAGAUAUCUGAAGAAUUUCAUCGGAUCACAAGCAAAGACCUCCUGGGGACGUUCAAUGCAUCCCUGGACAAAUUUGUGCCUGGCCUGCUGAAACUAUACCGGUCUAAGAAGGGAGCUCUUGGUGAGGAGAUGGAAGACAUCUUGGAUAAACUUGAUGAACAGACAUCUGACAUUGUGUCCCACCAAAAGACAGCAGCACUGAGAGGCCUGCCCAUUUUCCUCGGAGAGGAUGCAACACAGGUUUUCCUGAAGUGCUUAGACACUGACAUUUUGGAACCAGUGUUGAACGGUGCAUCAGUUGCCAUCCUCACCAUCCUGCAAGAUGACGAUGCCGAUACGUCUGUGCGAGAACAUGCUGUUGUGUUGGAAGGGGACAUCGUGCUACAUAACAUUCCAGACCUCUCUACUGCCUUGGCAUACCUCUUUGGCCUUCUGUAUGCCCUCAACAUUGAUUAUCCAAAGCAGAUGAGUUUACCUUUGAAGCAAUUCAGGGCAUCUUUUUUGAACUCGGUGGCUCUCGAUGCUCACAGCGCAUAAGGUCUCUAAAAACAAAGCUUUUGCUGUGACUGUUAACGGGGAAGCCAGACAUGAGUUUAACUUGUUCUUAAACAUGUUCAAGUGCAUUGUAGAGUCAUGUAAAAAAACAAAACAAAACCCAGUAGUUCAACCCAUUUCCCUCUAUAUAAUCGUUCAUUUUACCUGAUAGUUCACUGUUCAUUGAUGGUAACAUUUCUAAUAACUUUUGACUUCUGUAGUUCAUCAUAGUGAGCCCAUGUAAAAUGUCAAUGUCUGGGUACAAAGGCAAUUGUUUGUUGCACUACCCUAUUUAGUGUGCAAUAGUUAAGUUAAGCUUUUACAGGACAGUCAGGGUGUGAACGUGAAUGACUAAGCUGCUGGACACUUUUCUUUUUUUCUGGACUCUGGAAUUUUAAUGUCUCUGCUGGGGUGCUCAAAGCACCCUAAAGAAACUGGCAACACGUUUUUUUCUGUUUGUUUGCUUUUUUACAGAAAUUCACCCCACUGCCCAUGACCUUCUGAAAUAUACUGAAAGCACUGUUGAAAAAAAUAAAUACGUUUUUACAUAA